GAUGAACGCUGGCGGCGUGCCUAAUACAUGCAAGUCGAGCGAACAGACGCGGAGCUUGCUCCUCUGACGUUAGCGGCGGACGGGUGUGUAACACGUGGAUCACCUACCUAUAAGACUGGGAUAACUUCGGGAAACCGGAGCUAAUACCGGAUAAUAUAUUGAACCGCAUGGUUCAAUAGUGAAAGACGGUUUUGCUGUCACUUAUAGAUGGAUCCGCGCCGCAUUAGCUAGUUGGUAAGGUAACGGCGUACCACGGCGACGCUGCGUAGCCGACCUGAGAGGGUGGUAGGCCACACGGGAACUGAGACACGGUCCAGACUCCUACGGGAGGCAGCAGUAGGGAAUCGUCCGCAAUGGUCGAAAGCCUGACGGAGCAACGCCGCGUGAGUGAUGAAGGUCUUCGGAGCGUAAUACUCUGUUAUUGGUGAAGAACAAAUGUGUAAGUAAAUAUGCACGUCUUGACGGUACCUAGUCAGAAAGCCACGGCUAACUACGUG
Molecule: ribosomal RNA, 497 nt
Filed under: uncultured bacterium
Lineage: Bacteria
Description: partial 16S ribosomal RNA
Rfam family: Bacterial small subunit ribosomal RNA
Source: RNAcentral